Molecule: ribosomal RNA, 206 nt
Filed under: uncultured bacterium
Lineage: Bacteria
Description: partial 16S ribosomal RNA
Rfam family: Bacterial small subunit ribosomal RNA
Source: RNAcentral
GGACUGUAGUCUGCAACCCGACUACACGAAGCCGGAAUCGCUAGUAAUCGCGAAUCAGAAUGUCGCGGUGAAUACGUUCCCGGGUCUUGUACACACCGCCCGUCACACCAUGGGAGUCGGAAAUGCCCGAAGUCAGUGACCCAACCGCAAGGAGGGAGCUGCCGAAGGCAGGUCGGAUGACUGGGGUGAAGUCGUAACAAGGUACC